GGGACGGUAGUGCAGUGGUCUAGCAUAGGUGCUUUGGAAGCAUCAGACUCAAGUUCGAAUCUUGGCUGUCCCA
RNAcentral lists this transfer RNA (73 nucleotides) under Methanobrevibacter sp. RNAcentral describes it as "tRNA-Pro". It matches the Rfam family "tRNA". From Rfam's summary of the family: Transfer RNA (tRNA) molecules are approximately 80 nucleotides in length. Their secondary structure includes four short double-helical elements and three loops (D, anti-codon, and T loops). The record is from RNAcentral. Lineage: Archaea; Methanobacteriati; Methanobacteriota; Methanobacteria; Methanobacteriales; Methanobacteriaceae.